RNAcentral lists this long non-coding RNA (682 nucleotides) under Phoenix dactylifera (date palm). RNAcentral's name for it is "long non-coding RNA (PDAC_LNC016048)". The record is from RNAcentral. Lineage: Eukaryota; Viridiplantae; Streptophyta; Magnoliopsida; Arecales; Arecaceae.
AUUGGGUGAAGGAGUGGAAAGAAUUUUAGUCCAAGCAAAGUUGAGUCCAAGCUGAAAUUAGAUUGAGUCCAUGCAAUAAGUGAUUUGAUUCACAAUGGGUUAGCCUCUUCAAUAUCAAUUAGAUUGAGUCCAAGGCAUGAAUGGGUCCAUGGCUAAUUAGAAGUGGUCACAUGUCAAAAUAAAGAGAAGUUCAACCAUGAAGACCUCUCACAUGUGGAAGAAAUUCAGAGUUCAAAUCCAGUUGAAAUCCGUGAUAGAUUGAACACCAUAUGGUAUUUUGAAGAUUUUGGAAGCUACAGGAGUCUGAUUAAGUUGAUUCAAAUUUUUUUGGAAAGUAGACAUCCGUAGCUUUCCAAUGACUAUAAGAACAUGAAAUUUGGAGAUCAGAUGACAUUUGAGAAGUCUCCCGAACUUCAUGCUGAUGUUGGUACCCGAGAAGGAGUCCACCUAGAUUCCAACUCAUGGCAUGCGGCUGAAUUCCUUUUGAUGGGUUUCAAUCCACACGCCAUAAGGAACGGAUUCCUAGGUAUCUAGGCUUCGGUGUCAAGGCCUUUGAUUGGUCAAUUAGAAAAUUUAAAUUUUGAAUUGAGUCCUCAUGUAAUUAGGAGUCUAAUUUAAAAUUCUGUGUAGUCCUUAUCCUUAUCCUUUGCCAACCUUUUUUUCUAUAUAAAGGAGGGUAUGA